This 406-nucleotide ribosomal RNA is filed under the name uncultured bacterium. Its description in RNAcentral is "partial 16S ribosomal RNA". It matches the Rfam family "Bacterial small subunit ribosomal RNA", at positions 30 to 526 of the family's 1533-position model. The record is from RNAcentral.
AUUGAACGCUGGCGGCAGGCCUAACACAUGCAAGUCGAACGAGUGGCGGACGGGUGAGUAAUGUCUGGGAAACUGCCCGAUGGAGGGGGAUAACUACUGGAAACGGUAGCUAAUACCGCAUACCAUCGGAUGUGCCCAGAUGGGAGUCGCUAGUAGGUGGGGUAACGGCUCACAUAGGCGACGAUCCCUAGCUGGUCUGAGAGGAUGACCAGCCACACUGGAACUGAGACAAGGUCCAGACUCCUACGGGAGGCAGCAGUGGGGAAUAUUGCACAAUGGGCGCAAGCCUGAUGCAGCCAUGCCGCGUGUAUGAAGAAGGCCUUCGGGUUGUAAAGCACUUUCAGCGGGGAGGCGGUACUCGCAGAAGAAGCACCGGCUAACUCCGUGCCAGCCGCCGCGGUAAUUC